AGAGACAGCAGUAGCCGCGGUAAUACAGAGGGUGCGAGCGUUAAUCGGAUUUACUGGGCGUAAAGCGUGCGUAGGCGGCUAAUUGAGUCGGAUGUGAAAUCCCCGAGCUUAACUUGGGAAUUGCAUUCGAUACUGGUUAGCUAGAGUGUGGGAGAGGAUGGUAGAAUUCCAGGUGUAGCGGUGAAAUGCGUAGAGAUCUGGAGGAAUACCGAUGGCGAAGGCAGCCAUCUGGCCUAACACUGACGCUGAGGUACGAAAGCAUGGGGAGCAAACAGGAUUAGAUACCCCGGUAGUCCCUGUCUCUUAUAC
Molecule: ribosomal RNA, 309 nt
Filed under: uncultured bacterium
Lineage: Bacteria
Description: partial 16S ribosomal RNA
Rfam family: Bacterial small subunit ribosomal RNA
Source: RNAcentral